UACGUAGGCAGCAAGCGUUGUUCGGAGUUACUGGGCGUAAAGGGUGCGUAGGCGGUCCUAUAAGUAUGGUGUGAAAUCUCCCGGCUUAACUGGGAGGGUGCGCUAUAGACUGUGGGACUAGAGUGUGGGAGAGGAAAGUGGAAUUCCUGGUGUAGCGGUGAAAUGCGUAGAUAUCGGAGGAACACCGGUGGUGUAAACGGCUUUCUGGACCAUAACUGACGCUGAGGCACGAAAGCGUGGGUAGAAACAGG
Molecule: ribosomal RNA, 251 nt
Filed under: uncultured bacterium
Lineage: Bacteria
Description: partial 16S ribosomal RNA
Rfam family: Bacterial small subunit ribosomal RNA
Source: RNAcentral